This 465-nucleotide ribosomal RNA is filed under the name uncultured bacterium. RNAcentral's name for it is "partial 16S ribosomal RNA". It matches the Rfam family "Bacterial small subunit ribosomal RNA", at positions 339 to 795 of the family's 1533-position model. The record is from RNAcentral.
CUACGGGUGGCAGCAGUGGGGAAUAUUGCACAAUGGGCGCAAGCCUGAUGCAGCCAUGCCGCGUGUAUGAAGAAGGCCUUCGGGUUGUAAAGUACUUUCAGCGGGGAGGAAGGGAGUAAAGUUAAUACCUUUGCUCAUUGACGUUACCCGCAGAAGAAGCACCGGCUAACUCCGUGCUAGGCAGCCGCGGUAAUACGGAGGGUGCGAAGCGUUAAUCGGAAUUACUGGGCGUAAAGCGCACGCAGGCGGUUUGUUAAGUCAGAUGUGAAAUCCCGGGCUCAACCUGGGAACUGCAUCUGAUACUGGCAAGCUUGAGUCUCGUAGAGGGGGGUAGAAUUCCAGGUGUAGCGGUGAAAUGCGUAGAGAUCUGGAGGAAUACCGGUGGCGAAGGCGGCCCCCUGGACGAAGACUGACGCUCAGGUGCGAAAGCGUGGGGAGCAAACAGGAUUAGAUACCCCUGUAGUC